Molecule: ribosomal RNA, 253 nt
Filed under: uncultured bacterium
Lineage: Bacteria
Description: partial 16S ribosomal RNA
Rfam family: Bacterial small subunit ribosomal RNA
Source: RNAcentral
UACGGGGGGGGCAAGCGUUGUUCGGAAUUACUGGGCGUAAAGGGCUCGUAGGUGGCCAACUAAGUCAGACGUGAAAUCCCUCGGCUUAACCGGGGAACUGCGUCUGAUACUGGAUGGCUUGAGUUCGGGAGAGGGAUGCGGAAUUCCAGGUGUAGCGGUGAAAUGCGUAGAGAUCCGGAGGAACACCAGUGGCGAAGGCGACACGCUGGGCCGUACCUGACACUGAUACGCGACAGCAUGGGGAGCGAACGGG